AUCUGAUGAUUGAGAUGUGAGAACCACAUAUUCCUUUAUUUACUAUAUAUUUAUUUAAAGAAAAAGAAAAAGAAAAAGAAAAAGGGUACAUGAAAUAAAGGGAGGAGAAAAAAGACACCCAUCUCAAACAAUUAAUGGUUCAAAAACUAAUUUUACCCUCAAAUGUAAGACCCCGACUUUCCCCUCACUCCAUUCAGUACCCCAAACACCCUCAAGUGACCAAGCCUGUCUAAAAGAGCAGAAAUGGAUGCCUUCAUAAGUAAAUGUUUAUUUAGUAGUUUCACCAACCAUUUAUCACAGGAACAAAAGAACAGGCUUAUUUGUGAACUUUGAACGCCCCUCAACAAUUAUAAAGAGAGGUCAAGACAUUGAAGGAUCCUUUAGAAUCGAGAUCGCUUCCAUUGCUUACUGCCAGUCCUUUAUUUACAAAGCCAGGUGAUCAUCCAUUCCCACUAAACAAACUCCAACUAUACCAUACAACAACACAUAUACUGAUUAAACCUUAAUAUCUGACAUCCCCUUAGAUGCCUUGUAUGACGGCUAAUCAGUAUUACUGAGGAUUAUAAGGUAACUCAUGUACUGCAUUCUUGUAUUUGUUUACUCAGAAUGGGCAAAUCUGAAAUAUUUAUUGCUUCCCGGGAGAAAAGUUCCCAAUUCCAUUUUGGUGUUACUGAAGUAGUUUCCUCGACAUAUUUUCAAAUAACAUACACAAUGAUUAUCAAUGAGUCGAAUUACAAUCCGUAGAAAAUAAUGAUGAGGAAUAUAGCAUCAAGCUACUGAGAUGCAGCUUUGUCUUUCUUCUCUGACAAGUACCUAGUGGAAUGUAGUUAUGUUACCAAAAAAAAAAAAAAGAAAAAAAAAGGCUUAUUACUUUGCCCA
Molecule: non-coding RNA, 879 nt
Organism: Benincasa hispida (wax gourd)
Lineage: Eukaryota; Viridiplantae; Streptophyta; Magnoliopsida; Cucurbitales; Cucurbitaceae
Source: RefSeq, a predicted model, not a curated record